This 760-nucleotide ribosomal RNA is filed under the name uncultured rumen bacterium. RNAcentral describes it as "bacterial SSU rRNA". It matches the Rfam family "Bacterial small subunit ribosomal RNA", at positions 45 to 805 of the family's 1533-position model. The record is from RNAcentral.
GGCUUAACACAUGCAAGUCGAGGGGCAACGGGCGAGUGGCAACACUUGCUGUCGGCGACCGGCGCACUGGUGAGUAACACGUAUGCAACCUGCCCCCUUCUGGGAGAUAACCCAUAGAAAUGUGGCCUAAUAUCCCAUAGUCGGUCCAGCCGCAUGGCCGGGCCGGGAAAGGCGAGCCGGAAGGGGAUGGGCAUGCGGCGCAUUAGCUAGUUGGCGGGGCAGAGGCCCACCAAGGCGACGAUGCGUAGGGGUUCUGAGAGGAAGGUCCCCCACAUUGGUACUGAGACACGGACCAAACUCCUACGGGAGGCAGCAGUGAGGAAUAUUGGUCAAUGGGCGGGAGCCUGAACCAGCCAAGUCGCGUGAGGGAGGAAGGUCCUACGGAUUGUAAACCUCUUUAGCCGGGGAGCAACGUGCGCCACGCGUGGCGCAGUGAGAGUACCCGGAGAAUAAGCAUCGGCUAACUCCGUGCCAGCAGCCGCGGUAAUACGGAGGAUGCGAGCGUUAUCCGGAUUUAUUGGGUUUAAAGGGUGCGCAGGCGGCGCGAAAAGUCAGCGGUCAAAGUUCCGGGCUCAACCCGGUGACGCCGUUGAACUUUCGUGCUGGAGUUCGUGCCAGGGAAGCGGAAUGCGUUGUGUAGCGUUGAAUGCAUAGAUAUGACGCAAAACCCCGAUUGCGAAGGCAGCUUUCCAGCCGCCACUGACGCUGAGGCACAAAGCUGGGGAGCGAAAGGAUUAGAACCCUGGUAGUCACCCGGUAA